RNAcentral lists this ribosomal RNA (177 nucleotides) under uncultured bacterium. Its description in RNAcentral is "partial 16S ribosomal RNA". It matches the Rfam family "Bacterial small subunit ribosomal RNA", at positions 1325 to 1500 of the family's 1533-position model. The record is from RNAcentral.
GCUGGAAUCGCUAGUAAUCGCGGAUCAGAAUGCCGCGGUGAAUACGUUCCCGGGUCUUGUACACACCGCCCGUCACACCAUGGGAGUCGGAAAUGCCCGAAGUCUGUGACCCAACCAUUAAGGAGGGAGCAGCCGAAGGCAGGUCGGAUGACUGGGGUGAAGUCGUAACAAGGUAGC